CCCACUAAUAAAGGAUUAGAACGCAACUCACCGGUUAAGCCCGAAAAUUGGCUCACGGCGACGACGGCGCAACGGCGGCCGAGACUUGAACUCACGGCGAGACCAAGGGACACUCGGAUCGAGUGAAAACGGCCAACGAACUUGCUGUUCGGGCUAAGAAAACCGGCACAGAAACUGCUGGAUUCGGUCUUGAAUCAUGAGGGGUUGAAGCGGGUCUUCGAGAGCGCUGGCCAAGCAAAGAAAUCGCGGCCAAAAUAAGAAGCCGAUGGUGGAGAUGGACGGCUUGGACGCGUGCUGCUGCAGGGGGAGUCAACAAUGGAGGAAAAACUCCUUUGGUUGACUGAAGUUUAUGCGUGGCCUGAAGAGGAGAAUCGGUGGGUGGAGGUGGCGUGAGAGGAGAGGGAAAUGGAGGCUUCGUUGGAGGCGUGAGGCAGGGGCUGAGCAGAAACGGUUUCGGUGGAGGGGAUGAGCGGCUUCGGUGGCGUCGAUUCAAAGGGAGAGCAGUGGUCUUCGCCAGAAACAAAACAGAAGAAAAAGAAAGGCAGCAGGAGAAAGAGAUGAAUGAAAGCGAAGCAACACCGUGAAG
This 586-nucleotide long non-coding RNA is filed under the name Eucalyptus grandis. RNAcentral's name for it is "long non-coding RNA (EGRA_LNC003276)". Lineage: Eukaryota; Viridiplantae; Streptophyta; Magnoliopsida; Myrtales; Myrtaceae. The record is from RNAcentral.